AAUGAACGCUGGCGGCGUGCUUAACACAUGCAAGUCGAGCGAGUGAGUUCUUCGGAACGAUCUAGCGGCGGACGGGUGAGUAACACGUGGGCAACCUGCCUCAUAGAGGGGAAUAGCCUCCCGAAAGGGAGAUUAAUACCGCAUAACAUCGUUGAAGGUCAUCCUUCGAUGAUCAAAGGAGCAAUCCGCUAUGAGAUGGGCCCGCGGCGCAUUAGCUAGUUGGUGAGGUAACGGCUCACCAAGGCGACGAUGCGUAGCCGACCUGAGAGGGUGAUCGGCCACAUGGGGACUGAGACACGGCCCAGACUCCUACGGGAGGCAGCAGUGGGGAAUAUUGCACAAUGGGGGAAACCCUGAUGCAGCAACGCCGCGUGAGUGAUGACGGCCUUCGGGUUGUAAAGCUCUGUCUUUGGGGACGAUAAUGACGGUACCCAAGGAGGAAGUCACGGCUAACUACGUGCCAGCCGCCGCAGUAA
Molecule: ribosomal RNA, 476 nt
Filed under: uncultured bacterium
Lineage: Bacteria
Description: partial 16S ribosomal RNA
Rfam family: Bacterial small subunit ribosomal RNA
Source: RNAcentral